Molecule: transfer RNA, 66 nt
Filed under: Agrilinae sp. 2 ACP-2013
Lineage: Eukaryota; Metazoa; Arthropoda; Insecta; Coleoptera; Buprestidae
Description: tRNA-Glu
Source: RNAcentral
CUCUUAUAUAGUUUAAAUAAAACCUUGUAUUUUCAUUACAAAAUUAAAUUAUAUUAUUUUAUAAGU